Molecule: small RNA, 319 nt
Filed under: Histoplasma ohiense
Lineage: Eukaryota; Fungi; Ascomycota; Eurotiomycetes; Onygenales; Ajellomycetaceae
Description: hypothetical lncRNA
Source: RNAcentral
AGAGCCGCCUAGAUGCAAAGAUAAAUCUCAUGCAACCCCGGAUAAAAUCAAAUCCUGCGCAGCGCAGUCCACAUAAUCUUCAAAGGUAUUUUCUUCCUUCCUUGCCGGUGGGAUAGAAAACUAGGUAUAUGGGAAGACGCCUGCUUUUCGUGGCUGAUAUUGAUAUUGAUAUGGAUAUCGAGUGAUGGCGAUAGUUAAAUAUGCGCCUGGAAAAUUGGAGACUUUGGGUUGGUUCAAUUCGCUCGUUUCAAAACUGGGUGGAACAGGAGUUGUUGUAUAAAGGAUGGUUUGAGCUGUUGGCAGAGGAGGAAGAGAAGAA